This 465-nucleotide ribosomal RNA is filed under the name uncultured bacterium. RNAcentral's name for it is "partial 16S ribosomal RNA". It matches the Rfam family "Bacterial small subunit ribosomal RNA", at positions 338 to 795 of the family's 1533-position model. The record is from RNAcentral.
CCUACGGGAGGCUGCAGUAGGGAAUCUUCCACAAUGGGCGAAAGCCUGAUGGAGCAACGCCGCGUGGGUGAAGAAGGUCUUCGGAUCGUAAAACCCUGUUGUUAGAGAAGAAAGUGCGUGAGAGUAACUGUUCACGUUUCGACGGUAUCUAACCAGAAAGCCACGGCUAACUACGUGCCAGCAGCCGCGGUAAUACGUAGGUGGCAAGCGUUAUCCGGAUUUAUUGGGCGUAAAGGGAACGCAGGCGGUCUUUUAAGUCUGAUGUGAAAGCCUUCGGCUUAACCGGAGUAGUGCAUUGGAAACUGGGAGACGUGAGUGCAGAAGAGGAGAGUGGAACUCCAGGUGUAGCGGUGAAAUGCGUAGAUAUAUGGAAGAACACCAGUGGCGAAAGCGGCUCUCUGGUCUGUAACUGACGCUGAGGUUCGAAAGCGUGGGUAGCAAACAGGAUUAGAUACCCCGGUAGUC